This 252-nucleotide ribosomal RNA is filed under the name uncultured bacterium. RNAcentral's name for it is "partial 16S ribosomal RNA". It matches the Rfam family "Bacterial small subunit ribosomal RNA", at positions 524 to 776 of the family's 1533-position model. The record is from RNAcentral.
UACGUAGGGUGCGAGCGUUAAUCGGAAUUACUGGGCGUAAAGCGUGCGCAGCGGCGCGUUAAGAAAGGGGUGAAAGCCCCGAGCUUAACUUGGGAAUUGCGCUUGUGACUGGCGUGCUGGAGUGUGGCAGAGGGAGGUGGAAUUCCACGUGUAGCAGUGAAAUGCGUAGAGAUGUGGAGGAACACCGGUGGCGAAGGCAGCCUCCUGGGCCAGCACUGACGCUCAUGCACGAAAGCGUGGGGAGCAAACAGG